Molecule: non-coding RNA, 418 nt
Filed under: Pongo abelii (Sumatran orangutan)
Lineage: Eukaryota; Metazoa; Chordata; Mammalia; Primates; Hominidae
Source: RNAcentral
CACCAGCCGGAAUAGCAACCGGCGGAGCCCGUGCGCACCGCAGCGCAGCGCAGCGGCCGGGGGGUGCGGGCGCCCUCGCCGCCCAGCUACCUACCGCCGCCGCUGCCUCCCUUCCCCGCUUCUACCCUCCAGCAGACUCCCGCCGGGGCGACCCCUCCCAGGGUGACCAGGGGGAGGUGUUCCACGUGGCCAUAGCGUUUGCGUCACAAUGACCUGGCGGACAGGUGGGAGCCACGGCGUACACCCCAGGGUUCCCUCUGUGCUGUGCGUAGUGCCUGCUGCUUGCUUUCAGGUUAAAUUUCUGUAGCUUUAGAGGACAGGAGACUUCAUGACUUCAAUGCCAAGAAAAGUUACAGAGGCCUGCUGUACCUGGAAAUCAAGUUUGAGCUUCAAGAAUAAAGGCCAUGUUUUAAAAACA